CCUACGGGAGGCAGCAGUGAGGAAUAUUGGUCAAUGGGCGGGAGCCUGAACCAGCCAAGCCGCGUGAGGGAAGAAGGUACAGCGUAUCGUAAACCUCUUUUGUCAGGGAACAAAGACUGGGACGCGUCCCCGGAUGAGUGUACCUGAAGAAAAAGCAUCGGCUAACUCCGUGCCAGCAGCCGCGGGAAUACGGAGGAUGCGAGCGUUAUCCGGAUUUCUUGGGUUUAAGGGGUGCGCAGGCGGUCUGUUAAGUCAGCGGUCAAAGCCCGGGGCCCACCCCCGGCCCGCCGUUGAAACUGGCAGUCGCGAGUUGGAGAGAAGUAUGCGGAAUGCGCGGUGUAGCGGUGAAAUGCAUAGAUAUCGCGCAGAACUCCGAUUGCGAAGGCAGCAUGCCGGCUCCACACUGACGCUGAGGCACGAAAGCGUGGGUAUCGAACAGGAUUAGAUACCCGAGUAGUC
This 459-nucleotide ribosomal RNA is filed under the name uncultured bacterium. RNAcentral's name for it is "partial 16S ribosomal RNA". It matches the Rfam family "Bacterial small subunit ribosomal RNA", at positions 338 to 795 of the family's 1533-position model. The record is from RNAcentral.